UCACGUGCUACAAUGGCAUAUACAAUGAGAUGCAAUAUCGUGAGAUGGAGCAAAUCUAUAAAAUAUGUCCCAGUUCGGAUUGCUCUCUGCAACUCGAGAGCAUGAAGCC
RNAcentral lists this ribosomal RNA (109 nucleotides) under uncultured Campylobacter sp. RNAcentral's name for it is "partial 16S ribosomal RNA". It matches the Rfam family "Bacterial small subunit ribosomal RNA", at positions 1218 to 1327 of the family's 1533-position model. The record is from RNAcentral. Lineage: Bacteria; Pseudomonadati; Campylobacterota; Epsilonproteobacteria; Campylobacterales; Campylobacteraceae.